GGAGAGGUGAUGGUCUGGUAAAGAGUGAGGUUUUCUGUAAGGAGGAAGGAAGACUGGAGACCUUCCUCCUGUACUACAGGCAGUCCUGGACUUACAACAAACAUUGCUUACAACCUUUUGUAAACUAUGACUGUUUCAAGGUUCCAACAGGGUUUUGACUUUACGACACUGGACACAACUGCCUCUACCUGUAUGAAGAACAUCAUAAUCCAACCCCGAACUCUGCAGAAGCUAAGAGCAUACAACAGUGUAUAUUAAAAGCUACCGAA
Molecule: long non-coding RNA, 269 nt
Organism: Alligator sinensis (Chinese alligator)
Lineage: Eukaryota; Metazoa; Chordata; Crocodylia; Alligatoridae
Exons: 3
Source: RefSeq, a predicted model, not a curated record